RNAcentral lists this ribosomal RNA (267 nucleotides) under uncultured bacterium. Its description in RNAcentral is "partial 16S ribosomal RNA". It matches the Rfam family "Bacterial small subunit ribosomal RNA", at positions 793 to 1055 of the family's 1533-position model. The record is from RNAcentral.
GUCCUGGCAGUAAACGGUGCGCGUUUGGUGUGGGAGGAUUCGACCCCUUCUGUGCCGGAGCUAACGCGUUAAACGCGCCGCCUGGGGAGUACGGUCGCAAGAUUAAAACUCAAAGAAAUUGACGGGGGCCCGCACAAGCGGUGGAGUAUGUGGCUUAAUUCGAUGCAACGCGAAGAACCUUACCUAGCCUUGACAUGCAUCUCUAAGUCGGUGAAAGCCGGCGACUGUAGCAAUACAGAAUUUGCACAGGUGCUGCAUGGCUGUCGU